This 313-nucleotide ribosomal RNA is filed under the name uncultured bacterium. Its description in RNAcentral is "bacterial SSU rRNA". It matches the Rfam family "Bacterial small subunit ribosomal RNA", at positions 27 to 353 of the family's 1533-position model. The record is from RNAcentral.
GAACGAACGCUGGCGGCAGGCCUAACACAUGCAAGUCGAACGCCGUAGCAAUACGGAGUGGCAGACGGGUGAGUAACGCGUGGGAACAUACCCCUCGGUUCGGAAUAACUUAGGGAAACUUGAGCUAAUACCGGAUACGUCCGAGGUUUUAACCGGCCUCGGAGAAAGAUUUAUCGCCGGAGGAUUGGGCCCGCGUCUGAUUAGCUUGUUGGUGAGGUAAUGGCUCACCAAGGCGACGAUCAGUAGCUGGUCUGAGAGGAUGAUCAGCCACAUUGGGACUGANACACGGCCCAAACUCCUACGGGAGGCAGCA